CCUACGGGAGGCAGCAGUGAGGAAUAUUGCGCAAUGGAGGCAGCUCUGACGCAGCCAUGCCGCGUGCAGGAAGAAGGCGCUACGCGUUGUAAACUGCUUUUAACCGGGAAGAAACCCCAGGACGUGUCCUGGGUUGACGGUACCGGAGGAAUAAGCACCGGCUAACUUCGUGCCAGCAGCCGCGGUAAU
RNAcentral lists this ribosomal RNA (189 nucleotides) under uncultured bacterium. RNAcentral describes it as "partial 16S ribosomal RNA". It matches the Rfam family "Bacterial small subunit ribosomal RNA", at positions 338 to 524 of the family's 1533-position model. The record is from RNAcentral.